This 8435-nucleotide long non-coding RNA is filed under the name Populus tremula. RNAcentral describes it as "long non-coding RNA (PTRE_LNC001557)". Lineage: Eukaryota; Viridiplantae; Streptophyta; Magnoliopsida; Malpighiales; Salicaceae. The record is from RNAcentral.
GCAAAGGGACGAAGUCAUACCUGCUUCUGGAGACGAUGAAGAAGGCUGCGAUGCUGGUGGCUGCUGCUCUCGUUCGACUGCUUUCUCUGCUCUCCCCGCUGUGCUCACUGUCUUCCUUUUUCUUUUCUUUUUUUGCUUCCCUGGUCUGCUGGAAUUGAUGGACACGAUGACGAAGCUAUGGCUGACCGGCACUGCCUGCUCUCCUCUGCUCCUUCUUCUGCUUUCCUUUACUUUCUCUUCAGGUUCUGGAAACGCUGAAGGCAGUGGCAGCGAUCUCGUGACUUUCCUCUGCUUGUGUGUUUGGUCUGUGUGUCUCCUGGGUUUUCCAGUCGAGAGGAUGAUGAAGAGGUCGGCCUGAUGGGAACUUGUUUUUGAUUUAGGGUUUUCGUUGUUUGCAGGGACGAAGGCAAUGAGGGCCAAUACUCGUCUCUCUGUUUUGCUGUUCUCUAUGUCUCUGUGUAUUUGUUUCUGCGCCUCUCUGUUUUUUUUUAGUGCUGUGAAUUGCCUCCCCUCUGUAUUUCUACUCUGUUUGUUUUAGCUCUGGAUUUUUUUGCCUUGAUUUCUUGCUCUGGUUUCUGUAUUUGUGGGUUGGGUCCUCCCUCCUCUGUUGCUGCCGUUUGCUCCUCUCUUAUAGAGCUCCCCCUUCCCAGUCUUUGCAGGACUCUUCGGUAAUCCACGAACGAGAUCGUGGGCAUGAGGUGGUGCAGUGGCCUUGAGUUGCUGGAUUUUCCUUGUUCAAGCUGCCGGAUUUUUCUCUGUUGAAUCGGUCUGGUCCGUGCGAAACGGAAGGGACGAAGAACGCAGUCUUCCAACGGCGCCGUUUGUGUGCUUGAGGCAAUUUUCACUUUGGUCCCUGGACGUUUUAAACUUUACAAUUGAGAUCUUAAUCAUGUAUAAUUGAUUUUUUUAAUUAUGCCCUUGGAUUAAAUUCAAUUGAAUCCCUGAGUUAUAGCACCAUUUACACAACAGUCCUGAGUUUCUGGACUAUUCAAUUUGAUCCUUGGACUUUAAUUUUCUAUCAAUUUUUUCUUGAAUCAGCUCCAAACUUUGGUAUUUUUUCCAUUACACCCCUGAUUCCUUUAAUUAAUUAAAUCAAAGUUUAAUUAAGUCCUUAACCUCAUUAAUUCUUCAAUUAAACUCUUGAUUUCAUUAAUUAAAAUAAUCUAAAUUUAAAUCAAUUCUCUAAUUAAGCCCUUGAUUUAAUUAAUUAAACUAGUUAAGAGUUUAAUUAAAUCUUUAACCUUCCAAUCAUGCUGCCCUUAACCCAAAUUUAAUUCAUUCUUCAUUUAUUUUAUUUUCAUUUUUUUCAUCAUCAUUUUUUUAGAAAAUAAAAAUAAAAGGUCAAAAAUUGGGUUAUGACAGUUGCCCCCUCUUUAUAAUUUUGACUAUACAAAGAUAUUAGAAAAUUUUGUUUUCUUUUAGCUUUGUGUAGUAAAUUUAUAAAGAAAAGUAGAUAUAGAAAGAACUUUUGUUUUGUUUUUUUUUUUUUUUUUAGUCUUGAAAACUUUGAAAACAAUAGAUUGACACAUAACAUUUACAGAGAGAUGUAGAAAUCAAGAAACAAGUCAUUUGGGAGAUAACCCUUUUUUUUUUGUGAUGGUAUAUUGUAAUGGGUUACCUACGCAGUGGAAAAAUACAAAGAUUUUUUUUUUUAAUAAGACGAGGGCUCGAAGGCGCGCUCGAAUGUAAGACGAGGGCUCGAAGGCGCGCUCGAAUGGAGGUAGGAUAGAAAAUGCACUACCUUUGAUGGUCGAGGGCUCGAAGGCGCGCUCAAAAAUAAAUAAGACGAGGGCUCAAAGGCACGCUCGAAUGUAAGACGAGGGCUCGAAGGCGCGCUCGAAUGGAGGUAGGAUAGAAAAUGCACUACCUUUGAUGGUCGAGGGCUCGAAGGCGCGCUCGAAAAUAAAUAAGACAAGGGCUCAAAGGCGCGCUCGAAUGUAAGACGAGGGCUCGAAGGCGCGCUCGAAUGGAGGUAGGAUAGAAAAUACACUACCUUUGAUGGUCGAGGGCUCGAAGGCGCGCUCGAAUGGAUAAGACGAGGGCUCGAAGGCGCGCUCGAAUGGAGGUAGGAUAGAAAAUGCACUACCUUUGAUGGUCGAGGGCUCGAAGGAGCGCUCGAAAAUAAAUAAGACGAGGGCUCAAAGGCACGCUCGAAUGUAAGACGAGGGCUCGAAGGCGCGCUCGAAUAGAUAAGACGAGGGCUCGAAGGCGCGCUCGAAUGGAGGUAGGAUAGAAAAUGCACUACCUUUGAUGGUCGAGGGCUCGAAAGCGCGCUCGAAUGGAUAAGACGAGGGCUCAAAGGCGCGCUCGAAUGUAAGACGAGGGCUCGAAGGCGCGCUCGAAUGGAUAAGACGAGGGCUCGAAGGCGCACUCGAAUGGAGGUAGGAUAGAAAAUGCACUACCUUUGAUGGUCGAGGGCUCGAAGGCGCGCUCGAAAAUAAAUAAGACGAGGGCUCGAAGGCGCGCUCGAAUGUAAGACGAGGGCUCGAAGGCGCGCUCGAAUGUAAGACGAGGGCUCGAAGGCGCGCUCGAAUGGAUAAGACGAGGGCUCGAAGGCGCGCUCGAAUGGAGGUAGGAUAGAAAAUGCACUACCUUUGAUGGUCGAAACUGAAAGGUGGUGGAAAAAUACAGAGAUUUUUCUGGUGGCCUAAUUCUCAUGGGCGGCCUGCCCAGGUUGAAAAAUUCUCAAAAUGAAAAUUUUCAAAAGCAAUUUCUUUGGCCAUUUCAAGUUGGCCUUCCACUUGAUGGAUUCGUUGGAAUUUUCUCUAUAAAUUUGCAAAACUCAUUGUCCAAUGUCUCAAAGUUUAAAUGAUAUGCAUGCAUCUUUACCUGAUUUGAAAUAUAGGCCCCCAUUUCUUCUUAAUCUUCUGUUGCUUGGUUGGUGAGAUCUUGCUAUCUGAUUUGAGUCAUCUUUGUCGUUUAGCUUUCUAGCCCACUCGAGUUGGCCCAUGUAAGUUUAUUUCCAGAUUUGUUUACACAACUCAGCUUUUGUGGUGCCCAUCGUGACCCACUUGCUUGCUAGAGAUUUUCUGAUUCGUCAAAUAAUUUGAGAGGAUUAUUCAUUACCCCUCGUCUCACUGCUAAAAACAUUCGGUAUCACUUGCUGAAAGGAUCGAGCUGUCUUUUGUAAACCAAAAUGCCCCCUUGUCUGGUUGAAGGAAAUUACCAUCUCCUUUUCUAGAAUCUUUCCUUCUAAACACAAUGUUGCCCCUUGUAUUGGUUAUUGCCCCUAAGUGUGCUUCUGUUAGCGACUUAGAUAAAUAAAGGUUUUAAGAGGUCAUUCUCUCAUUUCUCUCACUUUUCAGUUUGGUGGAGGAAUAUGGGUCUAGAAUGAAUCUUGAAAUCUUGAUCUUGCAUUUUGAAAACAAAAAUUAUUUCGAUGUGAGUCAAAUAACAAUUUGCUUUUGAAAUCUUGCAACUCCUUGGUUAUUUUCUUUCUGGGAAAAGAGAUUAUUUGCUCUUGUGUUUGGUAAUGAGGUCUUCGGUGAAAAUAUAUCAUGAGAUGACCUUUUGUUUCGAAGUGAAGGGCUCGAGAAAAAGCUCGAGGUUUUGUAUGAGAAAAACUUGUCUCUUUUUGAACAUUUAUUUUUAUCAGCAUGAAUAAUAAUGAGUAGUUUAUUCUUGAUGUCAUGAAUCUUAUGAAAAAGUAUUCUUUGCAUUUUGAGAGCAUUGUUUAUUGUUCUAGAUUGCUUGCUUGCUUGAUUAGAAAGGACUUCUACAGGCACGUAACGUAGGCUGUGGUUUUUGGCUAUGAAAGAAAAGGAUUCAUAAGGCUCAAAGAGUGUUUCAGGGUUUCAAAGACUGAAGAUCACGAUCAAUAGUUUGACUUUUGAUGUCAUUCAUAUUUUCCUUUGCCGCUCUUCUUUGAUUUGCCCCUUUUUUCUUUUUCAUUGCUUCGCUAGAGCAUACUCACUUUAUCUUGGUUAUCACUUUUUCUUGUGAUUUGGGCAUGCCCCCUAGUAUUUGAGUUUCUUGGGCUCUUUUGCCUUUUGGCUUUCUCACGGCUUUAUCCUCUUUCUUGAUCAUUGAAAUUUCACUUGCCCCUUUUUUUGUGAUGUGGGCAUGAUCCCUAGCAUUUGAGUUUCUUGGGCUCUUUUGCCUUUUGGCUUUCUCACGGCUUUAUCAUCCUUCUUGAUCAUUGAAAUUUCACUUGCCCUAGUGUAGGGUGUGAUCUUAGUCGGGAUUUUUUAUGAAAGAAAAAAAAUUAUUCAGGCUCAAAAACGGUUUGCAAGGGAUGUACUUAUUUUAGAACGUGAAAGGAAUAACAAAGAUGGCCUUUCCUCAUUUCAAGCGCAAGUAGCUAUGAUCAAUAAACUUUGACCUCGUAUAGUGUGAUGGUUUAUUCUUUGCAAAGAUGCAUUUCAUGAGUUAUGAGCAACAAGUUCACUACAUACCAUUAUUCAUACAUUUAAAAACACAUGAUUCAAGAGUAAUGGGGUAAGGUUGUUUAUUCUUUUUUUUCACAAUUGUUUUUUAAUUUAGUCACCUCAAUGAUGGAGUUGCUUGAUUCACUUGUCAUUCUACAAGUAGAAUGUCAAAAAUAUGUUUUUGAAUAAACAUCAAAUUAUUUUUUGAAAUCAAAAUGCCAGAUCAAUUUUUUUCAAAACUCCAAUAGGGAAACUGAUUUUUGGUAAAAGAGAUGAAUUGCGUCUAUGAGAUCGCACAAGGCUUCAAAGAUGUGUUUGUGAAUCUUUAUAAGAAAACUCUCUCAGAAAAAAUGAAUAAUGCUAAUCGUAAACACGAUUGAAUGACAAACUCAUUAUUUUCAUUGAAACUUUAGAAAAUAAGUUCAACAAGAAAGAACUUAUGACAACAUCUUGGGCUAUGAAUACUGGCAUGAUAACAUAUAAAGGGGCUAAACAUUUAGCGAUCAUUGAUUGGAAUUUCUGGAAUCUUUCAAUCAUUCAUUCUCCUCGACAAGGGCAUCUUUUCAAACAGUUAGUUGAAGUCAUUUGUAAGAACAGUAAGUGCCUUGGCAACCCCUUUCAGUGUCCUUUCCCUUUUCAGUGAAACUGUUCUUUUUCAGACGGAUCAUCAAUUUUACCUAACCUAAUGGCUUGUUCAAUCCUCUCAGCUAUAAAAACCAGGUCAGUAAAAUGUUGUGCAGAGCUUCUAACCAAGUAUUCAAAGUAUGGAGCUUUAAAGGUGUUGGAAAAUAAACUGAUCAUUUCUUUUUUCCAACACGGGAGGGUUAACUUGUGCAGCUACCUCACUCCAUCUUCGGGCGUAUUCUCUUAUGGACUCUUUGCUAUCUUUCUCCAUAGCUUGCAAGCUUAACCGAUCAGGGCCCACAUCUAUAUUGAACUUAUAUUGCCUCAUGAAGGCAUCAACUAAAUCCUUCCAUUUUUUAACCUUGGUAUUGUCUAACCGUAUAUACCAAGUGAGGGCACCAUUACUUAGACUGUCUUGAAAGAAAUGAAUCAGCAGUUUCUCAUCAUCAACCACCUCAGCCAUUUUGUUGCAGUAUGCUUUGAGAUGAGUUAUAGGGCAUUGAGUUCCCGUAUAUUUGAUAAAUUCUAGCACUCUAAAAUUUUUAGGAAUGACAACAUUGGGCACCAAACACAUCUCAGCAGCCUUUAUAGGAUCAUAUAAGUGAAUUCCCUCAAAUGCCCUCAUCCUUUGUUCUAGGGCAAUGAAUUUAUUCAGCUCAUCUUCUUUUACAUUUUGCCCUUUUGAAUUCAUUCUCUGUAGAAUCAAUGGUAAACGACAUUCUGUGGGGUAUGCUGGUUGAAAAUGCGUGGCUUGUCGAAAAUAGAUGACAACCCAUUUUGCCCCCAGAUUCUAUGGAUUGAAGGAAUUUACAAGCAUAGGUUCAGGCUGAGCUAUAAAUGUUGUUUUUCCAGAUUUAUCCUUAAGGCCUGCUCGAGUAGACUAGUAAGCCUUGCGACUUCUUCUUUAAGAUUGUCCACCUCUUUUUGAUGUUGGGCUUCCAACUAGGCUCUUUCUUCAUCUUCCAUUUGUCUUUUUCUCGAAUGGGUUUCAAUAGGGAACCUAUAUUUCAACCUGCUAUAUGUAAAUCAUGCAAUUAAGCAAAAAUAUUGAUUUAAUUAAAAAUGCAUAUGGAAUGCAGACACGUCCUUCACCAGAUGACAACCUAAUAGGAAGAUCCUAAUUGUUGAGUGCAUCAAAGGGUUGGUCAUUAUCUAGUUUCAAAGGGUCUCUCGCAUGCUCAGUGAUCGUCCAUGAAAGGUCGAUAUGAGGCUUACAAGUAGUGUGAAAAUAGAGGCCCUGAGUAAUAUCAGUUUGGCAUAUCAACCACUUCCAAGUAAACAAUCAAGCGAGAGUUGGAUGGUUUCACGAGUCUUACCCAGGCUAAAGCCAUUGGGGUACCGUUACUUUCCCACUUAUCCUAGAUUUUCAGGUGUGUGCUCUCAACGUGAUGCAUGACAAUAUAAACAUGGAUGCAUGCUAAAGCAGUAAAUUCAAGAAAAAUAAACAAAUAAACAUAACAUAAAAAACAUUAUAACAAUUGAUAAACAAAAUGCAAAGCUUAGUCCAUUGGUCCCCAGUGGAGUUGUCAUUCUGUCGCACCCGACAUCGCGGCGGCCCUAAAAUUUUUUUAAUUAUUUUCUUUGGAAAGAACAGAUUUCUGGCAUCCUGUUCUUUAAUGUGGAUAUUGUUGUUUAAGGAGUCCCCACCUAGUAUUAUGGUCACUAGGAACCCUAACUGGUCAACAGAGAUUCUAUGGUUCGGGACUGGUUACGUAAAAGGGAAGAUAUUAUCACCCCUUAAACGUCCUGCCUGAGGCAGGCUGCAUUGCUGGUUUCGUCUUAAAUUGCUAAAUGUUUUAUUAAUUUACGUUAUGAAAAUUUGCUUAUAAUAUUCCUGACUCUGGCGCCAAUGAAUAUUUAACUACGAAUAUUUCCAACUCUGGCGUUGGUAAAUAUUACGUAGCUAUAAAAAUAAAUUUAAAUCAGUAUUAUUUUUUUAUUCCCGACUCUGGCGCCAUUGAAUAAAUAAAUAAUAAUACAUUUAUUUUUUUAUGCACAUAUUUUAUUUUUUCUAGCUAAAUAAAAUUGAAUAAACGAAUAAAAAUAAUAUAAAUUAAACCGGUAUUUUUAUUCCUAACUCUGCGUUAGUGAAUAAACCAAUAAAUUUAUAUUAUUUUUAUUUAUGCACACAUUUUUUUUUAUUUUUUUAUUUUUUUCUCUGCCUCUUUUUUUUAUUUUUUUGUUUUUUUUUUUGGCUGGGCCGGGCUAGACCCAGCCCAGCAUAUGAUUUUGGGCUGGGCCCAGCCCAGCCCACAUGUGGCUGGGCUGGACCCAGCCAGCCCGGCCAGGUCACUGGCCCAAGCCAGUGGCCUGGCUGGGCAAAACAAAAAAAAAAGUAAAGGCACGCGUGACUUGUUCACGCGUGCCCGAACACUGGUGAAGGUAAUUAAAUUACCUUCACACAGUUCUUGUAACCUUAAAUUGCUUUUUUAAAUGAAGAUGCAAAGGGACGAAGUCAUACCUGCUUCUGGAGACGAUGAAGAAGGCUGCGAUGCUGGUGGCUGCUGCUCUCGUUCGACUGCUUUCUCUGCUCUCCCCGCUGUGCUCACUGUCUUCCUUUUUCUUUUCUUUUUUUGCUUCCCUGGUCUGCUGGAAUUGAUGGACACGAUGACGAAGCUAUGGCUGACCGGCACUGCCUGCUCUCCUCUGCUCCUUCUUCUGCUUUCCUUUACUUUCUCUUCAGGUUCUGGAAACGCUGAAGGCAGUGGCAGCGAUCUCGUGACUUUCCUCUGCUUGUGUGUUUGGUCUGUGUGUCUCCUGGGUUUUCCAGUCGAGAGGAUGAUGAAGAGGUCGGCCUGAUGGGAACUUGUUUUUGAUUCAGGGUUUUCGUUGUUUGCAGGGACGAAGGCAAUGAGGGCCAAUACUCGUCUCUCUGUUUUGCUGUUCUCUAUGUCUCUGUGUAUUUGUUUCUGCGCCUCUCUGUUUUUUUUUAGUGCUGUGAAUUGCCUCCCCUCUGUAUUUCUACUCUGUUUGUUUUAGCUCUGGAUUUUUUUGCCUUGAUUUCUUGCUCUGGUUUCUGUAUUUGUGGGUUGGGUCCUCCCUCCUCUGUUGCUGCCGUUUGCUCCUCUCUUAUAGAGCUCCCCCCUUCCCAGUCUUUGCAGGACUCUUCGGUAAUCCACGAACGAGAUCGUGGGCAUGAGGUGGUGCAGUGGCCUUGAGUUGCUGGAUUUUCCUUGUUCAAGCUGCCGGAUUUUUCUCUGUUGAAUCGGUCUGGUCCGUGCGAAACGGAAGGGACGAAGAACGCAGUCUUCCAAACAGCGCCGUUUGUGUGCUUGAGGCAAUUUUCACUUUGGUCCCUGGACGUUUUAAACUUUACAAUUGAGAUCUUAAUCAUGUAUAAUUGAUUUUUUUUAAUUAUGCCCUUGGAUUAAAUUCAAUUGAAUCCCUGAGUUAUAGCACCAUUUACACAACAGUCCUGAGUUUCUGGACUAUUCAAUUUGAUCC